This is a non-coding RNA of Pelobates cultripes (western spadefoot toad), 285 nucleotides long. The record is from the annotation of a GenBank genome assembly. NCBI's taxonomy places the organism in Eukaryota, Metazoa, Chordata, Amphibia, Anura, Pelobatidae.
AGGUCUUUUUGGAAAGAUUUGGGUUUUUUUCACAUAUUGUUUUUUUAGCUUUAUCUUUCCAUGGAAAAUCAGAGUUCUUCAGAUGACUCUACAGACUUAAUAAAUAUUUGUGAAUUUGAACCAUCAUUCAUGCCACGUUUUCCACUAGCCUGGAUAAAUCUUGAUAUAAGGCAAGCCAUCCUUCAAGCAGAUGAAAACCACCGGAAAACACGUGAGCAGUUGCCCAGGGGUCCCAAUUAUUCAAUGAGAAGUGAAGUGGUCAGGCUGAAGAAGACUUUAUUGGAU